This is a non-coding RNA of Coturnix japonica (Japanese quail), 2434 nucleotides long. The record is from RefSeq and is a predicted model, not a curated record. Lineage: Eukaryota; Metazoa; Chordata; Aves; Galliformes; Phasianidae.
UUUUUUUUUCCCCCAAGCUCUAAAAUAGGCUCUUUCUUCAAGACGAAGUUUGCAUUGACGCAAGAAUACAACUAUUUUACCUGAUCAGUUUUCCAUUACAAGAUACGCACUGAUGAAAUUGUCAAAAAAAGAUGGUGAAGUGUGAGAAAAUACAAAGCUAUUUGCAGAAUCACAGAAUUUUAAAGGUUGGAAAGGACCUCUGAAGAUCAUCUAGAACAAGCCUUCUGCUAAUGAAAGUUUCUUAGAAUGGGUUGCAAUGGAAAACCUCCAGGAAUGGAGCAGAAUGAUGCAUUUGUUCUCAAGGGAUGUGUCCAUUUUCUAUGCAUGAAUGCACUAUCUAAAGCGUUGCCUAGCACGUGUCAAACACAUUUGUCUUAUCUGGUAAAAUAAUUAAAUCACAGAAACUUGUAUUAUAGAAAAAAUGAAUGCCUCUUUUUUUUUUUUUUUAUCAACUAGGUUAUUUUCUUGAAGGAAAAGGUUAUAAAAAUGAUAUAUAUAGAAGAAGCUUAUCACUAUCUUAUGUUUUCUAAAAUAGAGCUGAUUUUGAUUUUAUUUAGAGGAGAUGCCUAGCAAGCAUCAAACAUUUCAGAUUUUUACUGAAAACUAAAAGAUGUGCCCAAAGAUUCAUGAAUGUAUUAAUUAAAAUGAUGUCAGGAAACCUACAUAUUUGAAGGGCCAAACCAUAAGUAUACAAUGUUCAUUCCUAUGACAGUUUGAAAGUAUACUAGUUAGUUUCUGACAACAAUGGAAAUAUCACUGUACAUUUAUUAAUAAUAUUUUUCAUAGUCUGAAUUUCUCUGCUAAUUUAUUUUUGCUAGUGCUAGAAAAAUAUAUAUACAUAACUUAGCAAAUUUGCAGGUAGUAAGGAGAUUUGACUUUAAUGCAGCUUCAGGCAAUAGUUAUAUAUAAACAGUGCAUGAUGCAUUCAUAUUUUCAGCUGAAAAUCAGAUUGCUGACAUCAGUAGUUGUUGAAAUUGAAACUUUUGCAAGAAAAGAAAAAAACAAACUACAGUACAAUGGUGCAAAAGUACUGCACAGUGAGAUGGAGGAAAACAUGAAUUACUCAGUUUGAUGCCUGACACUGAAACUUCUGAAAAGGCAUCCACUGAUCACAAGGGGGUGCUGGAUCAGGCACUGAGGAAAAGAUUUUGGGUAAAAAGAGGAGCAAAAAUCAAGGUAGUUUGUAAGGAUGUGACAUCAGACCUUUCACUGCCUCCAGUGGUUUACUUGUAUGUGUCUUUCAGUAUGUGCAUGUGAUUGUGGGUUAUUUUUGAUUCAAUGUAAUUUUUUAAUCUUUAUUUAUUCAAUUAUUUAUUACACUUUUGAAGACAUGCACAGAAUUUUGCAUUUCAGAUGUAGUUUUCGGUACAUUUAUUGCAAAUACUGACUUCCUAUACAUUGUUUUUUCUUUGUCAAUUUAGAAUAACAUUAACUAGAUUUUCAGAUUCUUGUUCUAUUUGGUUGACUGAUGCUACCUGUUUGCCAGCGAACCUUAAAAAAAGUAAAAGCUCUGGAUUCUAAGCCCUUGUUGAGGAUGGCUGAUAUGUAGAAAGGGCUGUCAUUGCUGUAGGGGAUGCAGGCUAAUAAAUAACCUAAUUCUGGGAGCUGUGCAAAAUUUCUGUGUCCUCCGGCAUGUUUUAUGCAGUUAUUGAUGUAGAUGAUAGUUUUAUGUCUGCAUGGAGACAAGGGUUUAAUGUAGAUGAUUCUUUCCUUUAUUAAUCAGUUCAUGAUCUUACCUACUUGAGCAGGAAAAUGGUGUGAGAGGGUUUUUGGUGGGUUUGCAGAUGAGAGGCAGUGGAAGACUGGAAUAACACACACGAAAGGAAGCUGCUGAGCUGUUUCUACAUCUUGAUGUUUUUACAUGAAUUGAGUCCAAGAAAGCUUUGAUACCGUGCGAACUGAGAACGUGGAUUAUUUUCCAUAGAUUUAAGAACAUUGAAAUUCCCCACUUGAUGCACAGAAGAGGUGAUAAGUAGCUUGGACUAUAAUGAUGUAGGCUAUAUUUUUGCUAUGUCUUAUGUAGCAUGUGCUGUAUUCUGAUGGAAAAUGAAAAAAACACUGAACAUUUUUGAACCUACAAGUAAGAAUUUGAGAAAUACAGCUGCAAUUGUCUCAAGGUAGUUUAAAAGCAAACUGUGUAAAGAAAAGAAUCAAACCACCAAAUUAAUCAUCUCUUAAGUACUGAAAAAUGUUUACUGGAAAUGAAAAUAUUUUUAUGCAAUACAAUAUAAUUUAACUUUGAAAUAUGUAUGUCAGAUUUUUAUUUUUUUUUUCUAAAGAAAAAUCAGGGUUAUCUUUGAAAGGUAUUUUUCACAGCUAAGGCAAUAAAAUGGAAAUCUCCCAGAUCUUCAUAAAUAAAGGAGUUUAAUUGAAGCAUUUUACAUAUCUUAUAACCUUGAUUACAAAACAAAUAAACAAACUGAUUGUAUUUAUA